GUAGGGAAUAUUGGGCAAUGGAGGCAACUCUGACCCAGCCAUGCCGCGUGCAGGAUGACGGCCCUCUGGGUUGUAAACUGCUUUUAUACGGGAAGAAAAAAUACUACGUGUAGUAUACUGACGGUACCGUAAGAAUAAGGAUCGGCUAACUCCGUGCCAGCAGCCGCGGUAAUACGGAGGAUCCAAGCGUUGUCCGGAUUUAUUGGGUUUAAAGUGUGCGUAGGCGGAUCUUUAAGUCAGUGGUGAAAGCCUGCAGCUUAACUGUAGAAUUUCCAUUGAAACUGAAGAUCUUGAAUGUGGUUAAAGUAGGCGGAAUGUAUCAUGUAGCGGUGAAAUGCUUAGAUAUGAUACAGAACACCGAUAGCGAAGGCAGCUUGCUGAACCAUUAUUGACGCUGAGGCACGAAAGCGUGGGGAGCGAACAGGAUUAGAUACCCGUGUAGUCC
Molecule: ribosomal RNA, 445 nt
Filed under: uncultured bacterium
Lineage: Bacteria
Description: partial 16S ribosomal RNA
Rfam family: Bacterial small subunit ribosomal RNA
Source: RNAcentral